UGGGGAAUCUUGCGCAAUGGGCGGAAGCCUGACGCAGCAACGCCGCGUGUGGGAGGAAGGCCUUCGGGUUGUAAACCACUUUCAGGAGGGACGAAGCUACCUGGGUUAAUAGCCCGUGGGGUGACGGUACCUCCAGAAGAAGCCCCGGCUAACUACGUGCCAGCAGCCGCGGUAAUACGUAGGGGGCAAGCGUUGUCCGGAAUCAUUGGGCGUAAAGAGCGUGUAGGCGGCUUGGCAAGUCUGGUGUGAAAUCUUGCGGCUCAACCGCAAGCGGUCACUGGAAACUGCCUCGCUAGAGUCCGGAAGAGGAGAGCGGAAUUCCUGGUGUAGCGGUGGAAUGCGCAGAUAUCAGGAAGAACACCCGUGGCGAAGGCGGCUCUCUGGGACGGUACUGACGCUGAGACGCGAAAGCGUGGGGAGCGAACAG
This 427-nucleotide ribosomal RNA is filed under the name uncultured bacterium. RNAcentral's name for it is "bacterial SSU rRNA". It matches the Rfam family "Bacterial small subunit ribosomal RNA", at positions 355 to 775 of the family's 1533-position model. The record is from RNAcentral.